AUUUGGAGGAGGACGUGGCCAUUCAAUUCUAAAUGCCUGAAUAUAAUGUUAAAAUAAAACAUGUAUCAAAUAGGUCAUAGCUUGCUACAGCUGGAUGGGGAUCUAAUGUCCUUGCCAGAAUCUAACUCAGUGCAGGAAGAAGACACAGAUGUUGAGAUGCACUGGACUGAUGUUCAGAAGAAGGAAGUUGUAACUGGACCCUUCCAUCUACAUCUUGGUGCUCAUGCAGGGAUCACGUGGGAUGGGAUUCUCACAGAUGUAGGUGGGACACAAAACUUAGAGUAGUGCAGGGGGAGGAUAUCCAUGCUCAGUUGCAAGCCUUGGAUCAUUCCUCAUUACCAUCAGUGCUUGGAAAGUCAGUUUACGUCUUCUCCAUCGCUUCUUCCAUCUGUCCUUAUCUGCCCUUAUAUCGUGAGGGAGACUGAAGGUUGCUCUCAGGACCCAUCAACUCCAUGAAGCUGAGUCAUGUAUCGUACGCAGUGUGUUGUUGCAAGUUGGAUCUGACGUGCUCCUUGAGCAGCUGUAGUCCCUGGUGGCGUGUUGCAGUAAUUUCUUUAUGUGUUCAGGAGGUGUUCCAGUGAAACUGAACCUCUGCAUCAUGCUCAAGAGGUAAAGCACAGGGACCUGGCUGUGCUAGGGGACAGUAUUGAGAGGCUGGCUCACAGGCCAGUGAGUGGGUGGGGAGCUGAGUGACCGCUAUUCAGGUUUCAUGAACUAAAGCUUGCUUGUGAGUGAGAGCUGUGUGAUCACUGAAUUAAAUCCCUUGGUGUCUGGAGUCUCCUGGCAAGAGCUCAGUAGGUCCUGGGCUGUGCAGCCUGGCUUGAGAGGGAGGAGGAAUGUUGGGGGGUUAUGAUGAGACUUGUAAGCAUCGCAGCCCUAUCCAUGGACAAUCUCACUUCACUUUGUGUAUUGUCGUUGUCCUUUCC
Molecule: long non-coding RNA, 926 nt
Filed under: Gallus gallus (chicken)
Lineage: Eukaryota; Metazoa; Chordata; Aves; Galliformes; Phasianidae
Description: long non-coding RNA NONGGAT008366
Source: RNAcentral